This 1235-nucleotide ribosomal RNA is filed under the name metagenome. Its description in RNAcentral is "bacterial LSU rRNA". It matches the Rfam family "Bacterial large subunit ribosomal RNA", at positions 1564 to 2808 of the family's 2925-position model. The record is from RNAcentral.
UGAAUACGAGACGCUAAGGCGUCGAAGUAGUGUACGUCAUACUUCCAAGAAAAGCUUGCACUGUCAUAGAUAAAAAACGCCUGUACCAUAACCGACACAGGUGGAUAGGUAGAGUAUACUAAGGGGCGCGAGAUAACUCUCUCUAAGGAACUCGGCAAAAUAACUCCGUAACUUCGGGAGAAGGAGUGCCUUAUUCGUAAGGUUGCAAUAACAAGAUCCAAGCAACUGUUUAUCAAAAACACAGGUCUCCGCUAAGUCGUAAGACGAUGUAUGGGGGCUGGCGCCUGCCCAGUGCCAGAAGGUUAAAGAAGUUGGUUAGCAAUUGCGAAGCUGAUAACUGAAGCCCUGGUGAACGGCGGCCGUAACUAUAACGGUCCUAAGGUAGCGAAAUUCCUUGUCGGGUAAGUUCCGACCCGCACGAAAGGCGUAAUGAUUUGGAUACUGUCUCGGAGAGGGGCUCGGUGAAAUAGACUUGUCUGUGAAGAUGCGGACUACCUGCACCAGGACAGAAAGACCCUAUGAAGCUUUACUGUAACUUGAAAUUGAAAUUGGACUUUAUUCGCGCAGUAUAGGUGGGAGGCGUUGAUUAUAAUCUUGUGGGAUUAUUGGAGCCAUCAGUGAGAUACCACUCUUGUAAUGUUAGAUUUCUAACUUUGAAUCAUUAUCUGGUCAAAGAACAGUUUCAGGCGGGCAGUUUGACUGGGGCGGUCGCCUCCUAAACGGUAACGGAGGCGUACAAAGGUUUCCUCUGAACGGUUAGAAAUCGUAUCUAGAGUGUAAAGGCAUAAGGAAGCUUGACUGUGAGACCUACAAGUCGAGCAGGGACGAAAGUCGGUCUUAGUGAUCUGACGGUACUGAGUGGAAAGGCCGUCACUCAACGGAUAAAAGUUACUCUAAGGAUAACAGGCUGAUCUCCCCCAAGAGUUCACAUCGACGGGGAGGUUUGGCACCUUGAUGUCGGCUCAUCGCAUCCUGGGGCGGUAGUACGUCCCAAGUGUUGGGCUGUUCGCCCAUAAAAGCGGUACGCGAGCUGGGUUCAGAACGUCGUGAGACAGUUCGGUCCAUAUCCGGUGUAGGCGUUAGAAUAUUGAGAGGAGCCUUCUUUAGUACGAGAGGACCGAGAAGGACAUACCUCUGGUGUACCAGUUAUCGUGCCAACGGUAAACGCUGGGUAGCUAUGUAUGGAGUGGAUAACCGCUGAAAGCAUCUAAGUGGGAAGCCCACCUCAAGAUAAG